AUCAUGAGUUCACAUGUCCGCAUGAUUAAAGGUAUUUUCCGGUAGACGAUGGGGAUGCGUUCCAUUAGAUAGUAGGCGGGGUAACGGCCCACCUAGUCAACGAUGGAUAGGGGUUCUGAGAGGAAGGUCCCCCACAUUGGAACUGAGACACGGUCCAAACUCCUACGGGAGGCAGCAGUGAGGAAUAUUGGUCAAUGGGCGAUGGCCUGAACCAGCCAAGUAGCGUGAAGGAUGACUGCCCUAUGGGUUGUAAACUUCUUUUAUAAAGGAAUAAAGUCGGGUAUGCAUACCCGUUUGCAUGUACUUUAUGAAUAAGGACCGGCUAACUCCGUGCCAGCAGCCGCGGUAAUACGGAGGAUCCGAGCGUUAUCCGGAUUUAUUGGGUUUAAAGGGAGCGUAGAUGGAUGUUUAAGUCAGUUGUGAAAGUUUGCGGCUCAACCGUAAAAUUGCAGUUGAUACUGGAUGUCUUGAGUGCAGUUGAGGCAGGCGGAAUUCGUGGUGUAGCGGUGAAAUGCUUAGAUAUCACGAAGAACUCCGAUUG
RNAcentral lists this ribosomal RNA (541 nucleotides) under uncultured Bacteroidota bacterium. Its description in RNAcentral is "bacterial SSU rRNA". It matches the Rfam family "Bacterial small subunit ribosomal RNA", at positions 173 to 715 of the family's 1533-position model. The record is from RNAcentral. Lineage: Bacteria; Pseudomonadati; Bacteroidota.